This 496-nucleotide ribosomal RNA is filed under the name uncultured bacterium. RNAcentral describes it as "partial 16S ribosomal RNA". It matches the Rfam family "Bacterial small subunit ribosomal RNA", at positions 28 to 506 of the family's 1533-position model. The record is from RNAcentral.
GAUGAACGCUGGCGGCGUGCCUAAUACAUGCAAGUCGAGCGAACGGACGAGAAGCUUGCUUCUCUGAUGUUAGCGGCGGACGGGUGAGUAACACGUGGAUAACCUACCUAUAAGACUGGGAUAACUUCGGGAAACCGGAGCUAAUACCGGAUAAUAUUUUGAACCGCAUGGUUCAAAAGUGAAAGACGGUCUUGCUGUCACUUAUAGAUGGAUCCGCGCUGCAUUAGCUAGUUGGUAAGGUAACGGCUUACCAAGGCAACGAUGCAUAGCCGACCUGAGAGGGUGAUCGGCCACACUGGAACUGAGACACGGUCCAGACUCCUACGGGAGGCAGCAGUAGGGAAUCUUCCGCAAUGGGCGAAAGCCUGACGGAGCAACGCCGCGUGAGUGAUGAAGGUCUUCGGAUCGUAAAACUCUGUUAUUAGGGAAGAACAUAUGUGUAAGUAACUGCGCACAUCUUGACGGUACCUAAUCAGAAAGCCACGGCUAACUACGU